CCUACGGGUGGCAGCAGUAGGGAAUAUUGCUCAAUGGGCGAAACCCUGAACCAGCCACGUCGCGUGGAGGAUGAAUGCUCUAUGAGUUUUAACCCUCUUUUUUAGAGAAGUUUAUGACGCUAUGUAUCGAAUUAUCUCCGGCUAAUUCCGAUCCAGCAGCCGCGGUUAUGUGGAGGGUGCCAGCGUUAUUCGGAAUAACUGGGCGUAAAGCGGGCGUAGGCGGGGUAAUAGGUCAGAUGGGAAAUCCUGUGGCUUAACUACAGAACUGCAGUGGAAACUGUUACUCUGGAGUGUGGGAGAGGUAGGUGGAAUUCGUGGUGUAGCGGUAAAAUGCGUAGAUAUCAAGAGGAAUACUGAUUGCGAAGGCAGCCUGCUGGAACAUAACUGACGCUGAUGCACGAAAGCGUGGGGAGCAAACAGGAGUAGAUACCCGUGUAGUC
This 440-nucleotide ribosomal RNA is filed under the name uncultured bacterium. RNAcentral describes it as "partial 16S ribosomal RNA". It matches the Rfam family "Bacterial small subunit ribosomal RNA", at positions 338 to 795 of the family's 1533-position model. The record is from RNAcentral.